ACUCCUGCGGGAGGCAGCAGUGGGGAAUAUUGGACAAUGGGCGCAAGCCUGAUCCAGCCAUGCCGCGUGAGUGAUGAAGGCCCUAGGGUUGUAAAGCUCUUUCACCGGUGAAGAUAAUGACGGUAACCGGAGAAGAAGCCCCGGCUAACUUCGUGCCAGCAGCCGCGGUAAUACGAAGGGGGCUAGCGUUGUUCGGAUUUACUGGGCGUAAAGCGCACGUAGGCGGACUAUUAAGUCAGGGGUGAAAUCCCGGGGCUCAACCCCGGAACUGCCUUUGAUACUGGUAGUCUUGAGUUCGAGAGAGGUGAGUGGAAUUCCGAGUGUAGAGGUGAAAUUCGUAGAUAUUCGGAGGAACACCAGUGGCGAAGGCGGCUCACUGGCUCGAUACUGACGCUGAGGUGCGAAAGCGUGGGGAGCAAACAGGAUUAGAUACCCCGGUAGUCCCAUGA
Molecule: ribosomal RNA, 449 nt
Filed under: uncultured organism
Description: partial 16S ribosomal RNA
Rfam family: Bacterial small subunit ribosomal RNA
Source: RNAcentral